RNAcentral lists this ribosomal RNA (253 nucleotides) under uncultured bacterium. RNAcentral's name for it is "partial 16S ribosomal RNA". It matches the Rfam family "Bacterial small subunit ribosomal RNA", at positions 524 to 776 of the family's 1533-position model. The record is from RNAcentral.
UACGUAGGGGGCUAGCGUUGUCCGGAUUUAUUGGGCGUAAAGAGCGUGUAGGCGGCCAUGUAGGUCCAGUGUGAAAACUCGAGGCUUAACCUCGAGAUGUCAUCGGAAACCAUUUGGCUAGAGUCCGGAAGAGGAGAGUGGAAUUCCUGGUGUAGCGGUGAAAUGCGCAGAUAUCAGGAAGAACACCAAUGGCGAAAGCAGCUCUCUGGGACGGUACUGACGCUGAGACGCGAAAGCGUGGGGAGCGAACAGG